This is an RNA transcript of Suricata suricatta (meerkat), 2598 nucleotides long. It is a transcript of the gene named A disintegrin and metallopeptidase domain 3-like, with no coding region annotated. NCBI's taxonomy places the organism in Eukaryota, Metazoa, Chordata, Mammalia, Carnivora, Herpestidae. The record is from RefSeq and is a predicted model, not a curated record. The transcript has 20 exons.
UUCAAAGAGUGAUGUGAUGUGACAGGGCCAGUGAAGAGUAAGGAUGCUGCCAGGCACCGGGGAAUGCUCACAGGUGUUUUCCUUACCGCAGAUGCUGAAACAUCACUUCUACAAAUUACAGUGCCACGGAGGAUUGAGACAAACACCGAUGGUGAAGUUUCGGAAACGCAUGUCACUUAUUCCAUCAAAAUUGACAGGAAAACAUAUACCCUCCAUCUUGAAGUGCAGUCAUUUUUAGACCCUCAUUUCCUGGUGUAUGCAUACAACAAAUCAGGAACAUUGUAUCCAGAUUCUUCAUUUACAAAGGGCCAUUGCUUUUAUCAAGGAUACAUCGCAGAGGUUCCAAAUUCAGUUGUGACACUUAGUACUUGUUCUGGACUCAGGGGAUUAUUGCAGAUGGAGAAUGUCAGUUAUGGCAUUGAACCAUUGGAGUCUGCAGUUGAAUAUGAGCAUAUGCUUUAUCAAAUAAAGAAUGAUAAAAUUGAUUUUUCUCCCUUACAAGCAAAUUAUUCUAUCACCCAAUUGGUAGAUCAGUCCUACAGGAUUCUUGUGAAAUCAGAAAAAGAUUCAGAUGUAUUAUUGAACAGAAUUCUGAAAAUACAAAUCAUUAUGGAUAAAGCCUUGUUUGAUUAUAUGGGCUCUGAAGUGGCAGGUGCAGUUGAGAAAGUUGUCCAUAUCUUUGGUCUUAUCAACUCUAUGUUUUCUCAGUUUAAAGUGACUAUUAAGCUAACUUCUUUGGAGCUCUGGUCAGAUCAAAAUAAGAUUUCAACUAAUGAGGAUGCUGAUGAAGUAUUACAAAGAUUUGCGUCAUGGAAAGAAAAAAGUUUAUUUCAAAGGUCUCAUGAUAUGGCAUACUUAUUAAUUUAUAGAGACCAUCCUAAUUAUGUGGGAUCAACAUACCAUGGAAUGGCAUGCAGUCCAAAGUUCGCUGUAGGAAUUGCUCUGUAUCCAAAGAUGAUAACUUUAGAGGCAUUUUCAGUUGUUAUGACACAGUUGCUUGGAGUUAACCUUGGAUUAACAUAUAAUAAUGACAUCCUCACUUGUUACUGCCCAGGAACUGCGUGCAUAAUGAACACUGAAGCAAUACAUUCCCAUGGUGUGAAGUUUUUUAGCAGUUGCAGCAUGGUUGAAUUUAAACGUAUGGCUUCACAGCCUGAAUUUGAAUGUCUUCAGAAUCAAAUACGUUCAGAAGUGUCUUACCCAAGUAAGCAUACACUCUGUGGCAAUGGUAUUUUGGAACCGCUUGAGGAAUGUGAUUGUGGUAGUUCAAAGGCAUGCAAAUUUAAAAAAUGCUGUGAUCCUGAACGUUGUACUUUGAUUGGACCUGCAGAGUGUGGCACUGGACCAUGCUGUAAUAAAAAUACUUGUCGGAUCUCUGUAAAAGGGACUGUAUGUCGACAAAGCCAAGAUCUGUGUGAUUUUCCAGAAUUUUGCAACGGAACAUCUGAGUUUUGUGUACCUGAUGUGACAGCUGCUGAUUUACAACCAUGCAAUAAUAACACUGCCUAUUGCUUUCAAGGAAUAUGCCAAGAUACAGACAGACAGUGUGCAGAGUUAUUUGGAAAAUUUGCAAAGGGUUCUACUUCUCUGUGUACACAGGAAGUGAAUAUUCAAGAAGAUGAUUUUGGAAACUGUGGAAGAAAGUAUUGUAAUUUUAAGGAUAUCCUUUGUGGAAAGAUAGUUUGUCAUUGGACACGGUUAGAAGUAAUACCAUUUAAAAAAUUUGAUGUUCAGUACACUUACAUGGAAGGCCAUGUGUGUGUCUCUGCGUAUUUAAGAAUACCAACAGCACAUGUAACAGAUGAUAUUACCUAUACUGCAAAUGGCACUAUGUGUGGUCCAAGUAUGUUUUGUGACCGGGGACGGUGCACUCCUACGCAUUCAUACUCAAAGAGAAUAAAUUGUGACUCACUUAAAAAUUGCAGUGGACAUGGGGUUUGCACUAAUUUGCUUCAUUGUCAUUGUGAUGUUGGAUAUAGUCCUCCAUAUUGUAAACCAUCACCAUCUUCACCAGGCGGAAGUAUUGAUAACGGGCUUUGGAGUAGGGCAAGUCAAGGUGAAUACCUGUUUAUAAAACAACAUGUGGCUUCCCAAAAAAAUGGCCUCUUGUUAGGUUUCUACAUUUUUCUGCCUCUCCUUAUUUUAAUUGCAAUCAUUGCUUUUAAAUGGAAUAAAAUACGACUUUGGAUCCGAGAGAAAGUAGCAAGUGAAGGGUCCAGAGACAACUGAAGAUACUCAAUAAUUCAAAGAGAAAACCAGGUUUACUAUAACUGCUUUAGAAGUUUCUACUUCCCAAGCAACCCUACUUACCUUGAAUUGAUAUUCACUUGUGCCAAGGAGAUUGAUAGAGAUAGAAAAGCAAAUUUUGUGAAUAGAAUAUGCAGAAGUGACUAAAGAGUGUCAAAAAGCCAUAAGUUGGAGAAAGAACAUUACCAAGACAUUCACCAUUAACUGACUUGAUUCAAGAGAGAAAGAGAGAGAAAGCGAGAAAGCGAGAAAGAAAGAAAGAAAGAGAAACAAACCCUGCUAUUCUCUUCUUUUGUUAUGGCCUAAAGCUUUCAAUUUCACAAACAAAAAUAAAUCCUGAGAGUGAAAGUA